AAAAAUAGUGUGUAAACAUCUUAGCCAGGAGCUCAUAUCCUGAUCUGGGGACAGGAGGAAUAGACAUGUAGAAGUUCUAGGUCCUGGGGACACUGGGGAAGACAAAAUAGACAAGAUCCUCGCUUUUACACUGCUCACUCUUUAAGAGGCAAGACAACAAAGAAGCAAUGUUGCAGGAUUCCACACUUAAUGCUUCCCCAUUGUGACUAUAGGGGGUUUAUUUGACUCAUAAGUGGAACAAAGUAACGAGAAGAAAAAGCGUCAUGGAUAGUUUCUAAAGUCCCCAUGAAAGAUUUGAAGGAGGGCUGAGAAGAAAAGUGAGAUUCAGGGAGAGUGCCAGGAUCAUGUCUUACUCACAAGUCUGCAGCCAUGGGAAUCCUUAGCAGAGAGAAGCAGAUGAGGUUCCCUAGGAAGAACAUGUAGACUAAAAAGUGCAUCAGGCUGAAAAAGGAGACCCAAGGAAGACCAAUUCUCACAGAGUUAGCAGAGGAAAAGUACCCACCAAAGGAGACAAAAAAGCUGUGAGCUGUCCUGUGAAGCGGCCCGUGUGGCAAGGAACUCCGGGAAGGAGUUGAGGCCCUCUGACCCAACGCCUGUGGGAAACGACUUGGAAGUACUUCUUCUCCAGGUGAGCUUUGAGGUGGAUUGCAACCCCAGCUGGUGCCAUGACCCUGGUGCUGUGAAAGACCUUGAGCCAGAGCA
Long non-coding RNA from Suricata suricatta (meerkat), 702 nucleotides. RefSeq lists it as uncharacterized. NCBI's taxonomy places the organism in Eukaryota, Metazoa, Chordata, Mammalia, Carnivora, Herpestidae. The transcript has 5 exons. The record is from RefSeq and is a predicted model, not a curated record.